GAGUGACACGGUGCGGCCUGACGGGGGCCCAGUGGCCAGCCCGUCACUGUCACAACUGCCCUGUAACUCCUGGGGUGGGGCGAGAAGGGAGAGGGAAGGGAGGGGUGGGAGAGAGGGGUAGAGAGAGAGGAGAGGGAGAGGAAAAAAAAAACAGCCAGGGGUUCCUGCUCCCCGUCACUGACCGGUCACCCCUGGGUUAGAGAGAGGGGGAAUCAGCCAGGGGUCCUGCUCCCCGUCACUGACCGGUCACCCCUGGGUUAGAGAGAGGGGGAAUCAGCCAGGGGUCCAGCUCCCUGUCACUGACCGGUCACCCCUGGGUUAGAGAGAAGGGGAAUCAGCCAGGGGUCCAGCUCCCUGUCACUGACCGGUCACCCCUGGGUUAGAGAGAGGGGGAAUCAGCCAGGGGUCCCACUCCCCGUCACUGACCGGUCACCCCUGGGUUAGAGAGAGGGGGAAUUAGCCAGGGGUCCAGCUCCCCAUCACUGACCGGUCACCCCUGGGUUAGAGAGGGGGGGAAUCGGCCAGGGGUCCAGCUCCCUGUCACUGACCGGUCACCCCUGGGUUAGGGAGAAGGGGAAUCAGUCAGGGGUCCAGCUCCCCGUCACUGACCGGUCACCCCUGGGUUAGAGAGAGGGGGAAUCAGCCGCGGUUCCUGCUCCCCGUCACUGACCGGUCACCCCUGGGUUAGAGAGAGGGGGAAUCAGCCACGGUUCCUGCUCCCCUUUACAGUCAUCCCACCUCUCCCGGAAGUUCCAGGAGUCUCCCGCAUAUUGAUAGUGGCUCCCUGACGCCCGCAAAUUACAUACAAUAUCCAAGAAAUCGAUGAGAGAGAGGGAAAUGGGGAGACGGGGAAGGGGAGAGAAUCCUCAUUGGUCUCUCUCUCUCUCUCUCUCUCUCUCUCUCUCUCUCCCUCUCUCUCCCUCUCUCUCCCUCUCUCCCUCUCUCCCUCUCUCCCUCUCUCCCUCUCUCCCUCUCUCCCUCUCCCUCUCUCCCUCUCUCCCUCUCUCUUUCUCUCUCUUCGGUUUAGUGUCCGGCAGCGCCAUGGCAGAGUGUUCCAAUAAGAUAUAAAACGUCCUUCACCCCGGACUACACUAAAGUGCACCCCUGCCUAAUCGGGGUGAAAAAUAUCGACAGUGUUGCUCGCUGCGCUGUUUGCAACAGAGUCUUUUCUAUUGCCCAUGGAGGGUUAAAAUGUAAAAGACGUGUUGAGGUGGGUUUAACAGGUGUCAGUCGUUCAUUAGCAUAGCUAACGUGAUGUAAACUAGCUGGCCGGCUGCUAAGGAGCUGCUCGAUUGACGUCCUAAUAGCGUUGAGACUGCCAACAAAAUAUUCAAGAAGAAAUUUUUAUAGAUGAGUAUAUGUGUAGUUUCAAUAUGUGAUCAAAUAAAUUGUGUUCUUUCAUAAUCAAAUGUCCCGUCAAAUACACCCUUGGAGGUCGACGGAGGGGGGAUAUGGGGUUGCGGGGGCGGGGGUGCUACCUCCCUGAAAUGAGUUUUUGCAGGAUGGGAAGUCUGCCAAGUGGCGGUAAUGCACCAUUAAGCUGGGUGCCAACCGCCGUAAGACAAGACGGAGAGAGAGAAAGGGGGGAGGAUGUCUGCAUCACUGCCCCAUGAUCACUGGGUUGGGGAGGAGGGAGGUGAAUCCGCCAGGGUCCCUUGAGGCAGAUGGUGAAAUGGGACAGAAACAAUGAAGCAAGCAGCUGCCCGGAGAGGGUAACCGUGUCGUCAUCAUCGGGACCUCCCGAGUCCCGCUCACACUCCCGCCGGGGGCUUCUGUGCAGGAGCUGGGAGAGGGGCAGGGCAAACUCACAGGGGUCGGUGGUGGAUGGGACACAUUUCCUUCACCCCCCCCUCCCCCGCGGGAGGAGAUCUGCUGAUGCUGUAAGUCCAAAGCCGGGCGCACGAAAUCGAGGGGAGCGCAGCGCCCGCGAAGAUGAAUAAAUAGCCGAGACCCUUCAUUUUCUCUCACCCUCAAGCGUUUUAAUUUUACUUUGAGGGGACUCUGUGGAAAUAGCUUUCUCCAGUUAAUAGCCGGUGGACAUCCUCUGCCCGAAGCGUCGACUGUACUUUUUUUUCCACAGAUGCUGAGUGAGUUCUUCCUCGCAUCAUUUUGUGUGGAGUUCCUUGGCGGACGGGAAACGCGAUAUUGAGCACAGCAGGACAUCAGCACCAUCUCUACCUGCUCGGGAGGUUCUUCAUGACAUCUAAACCUGUGACAAACUUAUAUAAAUGCGUAGUGGAGUGCAUUGGCACCAAUGCCUUUGUAGUGGAUCCGGCCCGGUCCAUCACGGGUAAAGCCCUCCAGACUACUGAGCACGUCGACAUGAAACCCUGUCGUAGGAAAGCAGCGUCCAUCAUCAGAGAUCCCCACCACCCAGGCCGUGCUCUCUUCUUCAGGUAGAAGGUACAGGAGCCUCAGGACUCGCACCACCAGGUUCAGGAACAGUUACCACCCCUCAACUAUCAGGUAGAAGGUACAGGAGCCUCAGGACUCGCACCACCAGGUUCAGGAACAGUUACUACCCCUCAACCAUCAGGAAGGAGGUACAGGAGCCUCAGGACUCGCACCACCAGGUUCAGGAACAGUUACCACCCCUCAACCAUAUCAGGCUCCUGAACAAAAGGGACAGCUACACUCAUCUAUUGAGAUGUCCCCACAACCAAUGAUCUCACUUUAAGGACUCUUUAUCUCACAUUCUGGUUAUUUAUUGCUAUUUAUUUAUAUUUGCAUUUGCACAGUUUGCUGUCUUCUGCACCCUGGUUGAUCUUUCACUGAUCCUGUUUACAGUUACUGUUCUGUAGAUCUGCUGAGGAUGCCCACAGGAAAAUGAACGUCGGGGUUGCAUGUGGUGACAUACAUGCACAUGAAUAAUAAAAUUUACUUUGAACGUCGAUUGUAGAGGUUUUACGGUUGCCCCACCUUCCCUUAAUAGGAUUUUCCCGUGGGGGGGGCAGUCACGGUGCAGGUAGAUGGGAGUGGGGAGUGUAAAUGGUUCAGCACAGAUUAGAUGGGCCAAAGGGCCUGUUUCUGUGCUGUACCUUUUCUCUGACUCUACAGCGCCCCCAUCUGGAAACACUGCAGCCCAGUCUCAGUCUCACCCCACACACUGAGAGGUAUUUGCAUUAUAUUCUUGUCAAAAUCUCCCCCUCCCCUCCCCGUUUGAUCACUGUUCACCCCCUUCCUCCCAGGACUUGAGAACAUUGUUCUGUGGUUAAUAAAACCAUCAGGGUCCCUGAACUGAACCCGCUUCACUCACCUCAGCACUGCCCACUCACUUUCAAGGACUCAACUCAUAUUCUCAGUAUUAUUUACUUUUUGUAUUUGUAGUUUGUCUUUCACACGUCAGUCAGCCCUUGUGGGUAGUUUUUCAUUGUUUCUAUUGUAUUUCCUUGUUCUACCGUGAAUGCCUGCAAGAACAGGAUUCAUAGGCACAAAAUAAAGUGGCCCCUUUCAUGUA
Hypanus sabinus (Atlantic stingray) is the source of this 3457-nucleotide long non-coding RNA. RefSeq lists it as uncharacterized. The transcript is spliced from 2 exons. The record is from RefSeq and is a predicted model, not a curated record. NCBI's taxonomy places the organism in Eukaryota, Metazoa, Chordata, Chondrichthyes, Myliobatiformes, Dasyatidae.